ACUAAGUACAACAACAUGGAGCCAGAUGCUGUUGAUUUCUUUGGGGAAUGUAUGAAUAGUCCCCGAAAUGGUCGUACUCCGCUUGCAAAUGAGAUAUAUGAGCAAAUGGUUGCAGAGAAGGAAAGAGAGCUAGAAGAAGGAGAAGCACAAAAGUCACCCUCCAAGAUUGUUGCUGAUAGUCUCAGCCAGAUCAGUCACUCAUCCACCUUCCUUCCAAACAUUGGUGUCUGUUUGAAUGCUUCAAACCUUUGUGGUGGAACCUUUGUAUGUUUGAACCUCUGUUGUGGAAGAACUAGUGUGCUGGAAUUGUGUAUGACUUGUGAUGAAAAUGUUGUGUAUGAUGGCUUUUCUGUGUAUUAUGAUUCUGUGAGCUAUCAUGAGAGCUCAGUGUGUCGUCACUGUAUGGUCACUGUAUGUGGGUGCCAUAUUAAACGAUCCCAACAUUAGGUGA
Zea mays is the source of this 451-nucleotide long non-coding RNA. RefSeq lists it as uncharacterized. The record is from RefSeq and is a predicted model, not a curated record. The transcript is spliced from 2 exons. NCBI's taxonomy places the organism in Eukaryota, Viridiplantae, Streptophyta, Magnoliopsida, Poales, Poaceae.